Molecule: ribosomal RNA, 230 nt
Filed under: Utricularia vulgaris
Lineage: Eukaryota; Viridiplantae; Streptophyta; Magnoliopsida; Lamiales; Lentibulariaceae
Description: partial 26S ribosomal RNA
Rfam family: Eukaryotic large subunit ribosomal RNA
Source: RNAcentral
CCCAGGUCAGGCGGGACUACCCGACGAGUUUAAGCAUAUCAAUAAGCGGAGGAGAAGAAACUUACGAGGAUUCCCCUAGUAAGGGCGAGCGAACCGGGAAUAGCCCAACUUGAGAAUCGUGCGAUCACGUCGCUCGAAUUGUAGUCUGGAGAAGUGUCCUCAGCGGCGGACCGGGCCCAAGUCCCUUGGAAAGGGGCACCCGAGAGGGUGACAGUCCCGUCGUGCCCGGG